This 766-nucleotide long non-coding RNA is filed under the name Saimiri boliviensis boliviensis (Bolivian squirrel monkey). RNAcentral describes it as "lncRNA (ENSSBOG00000036749.1)". The record is from RNAcentral. Lineage: Eukaryota; Metazoa; Chordata; Mammalia; Primates; Cebidae.
ACCCAACCUGUGUUUGUUUUAAGAAUCUCUUUAAUAGCUUAAAGAAGACAGACAGAUUUUCAGUUCUGCUCUGUGUUCAUUCAUUCUAUCUCGGUAUCACAUUAUGUAGUCUCUGGAAAAAUCUACUGUACUCUCCUGAAAGAAUAAAAUGGCAAAUGAUGCCUAACAUUAUAAUAUUAAUAGUUUUGAUCUGUCAGACUCUUUAACAGGGUCUCAGGGACCUCGAGACUUCUUGGACCAUGUUCUGAGAACUGCUAGCUUAAUUUGAAGAAAUUGUGGUAUCUGUGGCUCGAGCUCUCAGUGCAUCCAAGAUCCUGAGCUGCCAGGGGCCUGGCCUCUCCCACCCCGAGCCCUGCCUUGGCUGAGCUGUCACUGCUGCAUGUCCCAGGCUGCUGGCCUGCCUGUCAUCUGCAGUGCACAGGUUCUGAAACAAGAUUCCAGAGUAUAAUACUAUACAUGGAGCAUAAUGGCUGCCCACCUCCUUCCCCAAGGAGAAACGGACAAGCAACUGUGGACCUGGGGCAGUGUAGCAGGCUCUCAGUGCAUCCAGGAUCCUGAGCUGCCAGGGGCCUGGCCACUCCUGCCCAGAGCCCUGCCUUGGCUGAGCUGUCACUGCUGCAUGUCCCGGGCUGCCGGCUUGCCUUUUCUCUGCAGUGCACAGAACAUGGGAGAUACUGGAAAGUAUUUUGGACGAUGUGGGAAUAGCUGUCAGUCAGCUCUUCCUAAGAUCCAACACAGUAUGACAGAUGCAACAGCAAAACAGUGA